Molecule: unclassified non-coding RNA, 1269 nt
Filed under: Leishmania donovani
Lineage: Eukaryota; Euglenozoa; Kinetoplastea; Trypanosomatida; Trypanosomatidae
Description: gene:unknown
Source: RNAcentral
CCGACUCUCUCUCUCUCUCUCCCCCCUCUACCUAAGCUGCCGUGAUUUAUCAAAAGCACGACCACGAGUUUGGUACACACGCGCACAGGCAAGUGAGGCAACAUGGUCUGCCCUUUCACCAUUGCGAUCCGCGUUGGUCUGGUGCUCUUCGUCGCCAAGACGUUGUACGACGCCGUGUGCACGUACCAGCAGAACACAGCAUCCAAGUGCGUCAAGGGCAACGGCGACGGCGACAAGCAGAAGCCAUCGAACGCGUCGUCGAGGACAGCGGCAACGGCGGUGUAGCCCUCUUCUUCUUACGGGAGCGUGUGCUCCUUCCUCUCUAUCUUCCCUCCGGCCCCCUGCGCGCUCCGCGACGGCGUGUGUACUUCUCGAUGGCCCCCGUGUGCCUCUGCGCCGACCCGUCACUCAGAGCAACGUCAACAUCAUGAUCAUCAGCGUCUCCUGUUGCCCGCGCGCUCUCCCUUCUAGUUCUCCCUCUAUAGAGAGAACGCUUCUUCUGGGGAGGGGGGGGGUUCUGCCCGUGCCCUCGUCUCCUCGGCGCCACCUCCUCUACAAGGCACAGGCGCACACAAGCGUGCGCGUGUCUGCCCGAUGCGCAUGCGUGAGGGACGGAGCGGGGUGCGUGCGCAGGCACGAUCCGCCGUACAUGACGCCCACUGACCCACACACACACACACACAACAUACGCCUCUCUUCGCUGUCAGCUGCAGCCUGGCCUUUGGCGAGGGGGCAAGUCCAGAAGCGAUGUUGGGAUGUGGGGGCGUGUGAACUGGACGGUACAAGACGAGCGUGGGGCUGCUCAGCCCCCAAGGCUGCCUUCCCUCUUCCCCUCCCUCACUUCAUUCCUGGCUCUCCACGUCCAGGAACUGCGCCGCGAUGACGUCCGUUGCGUGGGCACGUGCUCUUCCCCCCUCUCAUCCGCAUAUCUACAUCUAUACAUAUAUAUAUAUAUAUAUAUAUAUAUAUAGAUGUAGAUAUCUGUGUGUACCACUGUCUACUCUCGGCUGUCAUGCUGCGUUGUCGGUCUUGGUGGCGCGCAUGGUGGGUGCCGCAGCUGGUACGUUGUUGUGCCUCGCGCUGUGACGGGUGUGCAGACAAGAACAACGGCAGCGAAGAGAAAGCGGGAGGCCUGCAAGAAGACCUCCAAUCUGCCUGUGUGUGUGUGUAUAUAUAUAUAUAUAUGCCAUGCGCCACCGCCCUCGUCAUACUUCACCCGCUUCCCCUCCCCGCUCCUCUCCCGCACCCACGUCGGCUCAACCCACGAAG